CAGCAGCCACGGUAAUACGUAGGUCCCGAGCGUUGUCCGGAUUUAUUGGGCGUAAAGCGAGCGCAGGCGGUUAGAUGAGUCUGAAGUUAAAGGCUGUGGCUUAACCAUAGUACGCUUUGGAAACUGUUUAACUUGAGUGCAAGAGGGGAGAGUGGAAUUCCAUGUGUAGCGGUGAAAUGCGUAGAUAUAUGGAGGAACACCGGUGGCGAGAGCGGCUCUCUGGCUUGUAACUGACGCUGAGGCUCGAAAGCGUGGGGCGCAAACAGGAUUAGAUACCCCAGUAGUCCCUGUCUCUUAUACA
RNAcentral lists this ribosomal RNA (301 nucleotides) under uncultured bacterium. RNAcentral describes it as "partial 16S ribosomal RNA". It matches the Rfam family "Bacterial small subunit ribosomal RNA", at positions 509 to 808 of the family's 1533-position model. The record is from RNAcentral.